This 467-nucleotide ribosomal RNA is filed under the name uncultured bacterium. RNAcentral's name for it is "bacterial SSU rRNA". It matches the Rfam family "Bacterial small subunit ribosomal RNA", at positions 333 to 793 of the family's 1533-position model. The record is from RNAcentral.
AGACUCCUACGGGAGGCAGCAGUGGGAAUUUUGGACAAUGGGCGCAAGCCUGAUCCAGCAAUGCCGCGUGCGGGAAGAAGGCCUUCGGGUUGUAAACCGCUUUUGUACGGAACGAAAAGGCUCUGGCUAAUACCUGGGGCUGAUGACGGUACCGUAAGAAUAAGCACCGGCUAACUACGUGCCAGCAGCCGCGGUAAUACGUAGGGUGCGAGCGUUAAUCGGAAUUACUGGGCGUAAAGCGUGCGCAGGCGGUCUUGUAAGACAGAGGUGAAAUCCCUGGGCUCAACCUAGGAAUGGCCUUUGUGACUGCAAGGCUGGAGUGCGGCAGAGGGGGAUGGAAUUCCGCGUGUAGCAGUGAAAUGCGUAGAUAUGCGGAGGAACACCGAUGGCGAAGGCAGUCCCCUGGGCCUGCACUGACGCUCAUGCACGAAAGCGUGGGGAGCAAACAGGAUUAGAUACCCUGGUAG